RNAcentral lists this small nuclear RNA (107 nucleotides) under Spermophilus dauricus (Daurian ground squirrel). The record is from RNAcentral. Lineage: Eukaryota; Metazoa; Chordata; Mammalia; Rodentia; Sciuridae.
GUGCUCGCUUUGCCAGCACAUAUACUAAAAUUGAAACAACACAGAGAAGAUUAACAUGGCCCCUGCACAAGAAUGACAUACAAAUUCAUGAAGUGUUCCAUAUUUUA